This 892-nucleotide ribosomal RNA is filed under the name uncultured Chloroflexota bacterium. RNAcentral's name for it is "bacterial SSU rRNA". It matches the Rfam family "Bacterial small subunit ribosomal RNA", at positions 8 to 912 of the family's 1533-position model. The record is from RNAcentral. Lineage: Bacteria; Bacillati; Chloroflexota.
AGAGUUUGAUCAUGGCUCAGGAUGAACGCUGGCGGCGUGCCUAAUACAUGCAAGUCGAACGGGGGGUACUUACUUCGGUUUUUACUCCUAGUGGCGAACGGGUGAGUAACGCGUUGGUGACCUGCCCCGAAGCGGGGGAUAACAGUUCGAAAGGACUGCUAAUACCCCAUGUGGUCGUACUGGUUAGAGGCUAUACGACUAAAGGAGCAAUCCACUUCGGGAGGGGCCUGCGUCCCAUCAGCUAGUUGGUAAGGUAACGGCCUACCAAGGCGAAGACGGGUAGGGACCUGAGAGGGUGGCCCCCCACACUGGCACUGAAACACGGGCCAGACAUCUACGGAUGGCAGCAGUAGGGAAUAUUGCACAAUGGGCGAAAGCCUGAUGCAGCAACGCCGCGUGCGCGAAGAAGGCCUUCGGGUUGUAAAGCGCUUUUCUGGAGGAAGAGGAAGGACGGUACUCCAGGAAUAAGGAUCGGCUAACUACGUGCCAGCAGCCGCGGUAACACGUAGGAUCCGAGCGUUAUCCGAAUUUACUGGGCGUAAAGCGCGUGUAGGCGGCCGGGUAAGUUGGACGUGAAAUCUCCUGGCUCAACUAGGAGAGGUCGUUCAAAACUGCCUGGCUAGAGGGCGACAGAGGGAGGUGGAAUUCCCGGUGUAGUGGUGAAAUGCGUAGAUAUCGGGAGGAACACCAGUGGCGAAGGCGGCCUCCUGGGUCGCCCCUGACGCUCAGACGCGAAAGCUAGGGGAGCAAACGGGAUUAGAUACCCCGGUAGUCCUAGCUGUAAACGAUGUGGACUUGGCGUUGGUGGGGUUAAAUCCAUCAGUGCCGUGGCUAACGCGAUAAGUCCACCGCCUGGGGACUACGGUCGCAAGAUUAAAACUCAAAGGAAUUG